Molecule: non-coding RNA, 73 nt
Organism: Rattus norvegicus (Norway rat)
Lineage: Eukaryota; Metazoa; Chordata; Mammalia; Rodentia; Muridae
Source: Rfam
GGGGAUUUAGCUCAGUGGUAGAGCGCUUGCCUAGCAAACGCAAGGCCCUGGGUUCGGUCCCCAGAAGACCACA